UCCAGCAGGGUCUGUCGCAGG
This 21-nucleotide unclassified non-coding RNA is filed under the name Mus musculus (house mouse). Its description in RNAcentral is "oocyte_clustered_small_RNA13209". The record is from RNAcentral. Lineage: Eukaryota; Metazoa; Chordata; Mammalia; Rodentia; Muridae.